RNAcentral lists this ribosomal RNA (253 nucleotides) under uncultured bacterium. RNAcentral's name for it is "partial 16S ribosomal RNA". It matches the Rfam family "Bacterial small subunit ribosomal RNA", at positions 524 to 776 of the family's 1533-position model. The record is from RNAcentral.
UACGAAGGGGGCUAGCGUUGCUCGGAAUUACUGGGCGUAAAGCGCACGUAGGCGGCUCUUUAAGUCGGGGGUGAAAUCCUGGAGCUCAACUCCAGAACUGCCUUCGAUACUGAAGAGCUUGAGUCCGGGAGAGGUGAGUGGAACUGCGAGUGUAGAGGUGAAAUUCGUAGAUAUUAGGAAGAACACCAGUGGCGAAGGCGGCUCACUGGCCCGGUACUGACGCUGAGGCGCGAAAGCGUGGGGAGCAAACAGG